GACGAACGCUGGCGGCGUGCCUAAUACAUGCAAGUAGGACGCACAGUCUAUACCGUAGCUUGCUACACCAUAGACUGUGAGUUGCGAACGGGUGAGUAACGCGUAGGUAACCUGCCUAUUAGAGGGGGAUAACUAUUGGAAACGAUAGCUAAUACCGCAUAACAGUAUGUAACACAUGUUAGAUGCUUGAAAGAUGCAAUUGCAUCGCUAGUAGAUGGACCUGCGUUGUAUUAGCUAGUAGGUAGGGUAAUGGCCUACCUAGGCGACGAUACAUAGCCGACCUGAGAGGGUGAUCGGCCACACUGGGACUGAGACACGGCCCAGACUCCUACGGGAGGCAGCAGUAGGGAAUCUUCGGCAAUGGGGGGAACCCUGACCGAGCAACGCCGCGUGAGUGAAGAAGGUUUUCGGAUCGUAAAGCUCUGUUGUUAAGGAAGAACGAGUGUGAGAAUGGAAAGUUCAUACUGCGACGGUACUUAACCAGAAAGGGACGGCUAACUACGUGCCAGCAGCCGCGGUAAUACGUAGGUCCCGAGCGUUGUCCGGAUUUAUUGGGCGUAAAGCGAGCGCAGGCGGUUAGAAAAGUCUGAAGUGAAAGGCAGUGGCUCAACCAUUGUAGGCUUUGGAAACUGUUUAACUUGAGUGCAGAAGGGGAGAGUGGAAUUCCAUGUGUAGCGGUGAAAUGCGUAGAUAUAUGGAGGAACACCGGUGGCGAAAGCGGCUCUCUGGUCUGUAACUGACGCUGAGGCUCGAAAGCGUGGGGAGCGAACAGG
This 773-nucleotide ribosomal RNA is filed under the name Streptococcus anginosus. Its description in RNAcentral is "bacterial SSU rRNA". It matches the Rfam family "Bacterial small subunit ribosomal RNA", at positions 28 to 776 of the family's 1533-position model. The record is from RNAcentral. Lineage: Bacteria; Bacillati; Bacillota; Bacilli; Lactobacillales; Streptococcaceae.